CUGGACAAGAUGCACGCCGUGGCGCCCAACCUGUCGGCGCUCAUUGGCGAGACGGUGGGCGCGCGCCUGAUCAGCCACGCCGGCUCGCUGACCAACCUGGCCAAGUACCCCGCCUCCACGGUGCAGAUCCUGGGCGCGGAGAAGGCGCUGUUCAGGUGCGUGGGCGCGUGGGUGCGUGGCGGGGUGGUGGCGUCCCCGCCGCAGAGGGAGUUCUGGGAUGGGGGACGAGGGUACGAAGGGCGGACUGCUGACUUGGGGUGCACCGUAUCGAGGGGAGGGGAAAGCAACCAUUGGCGCCGCACAACAUACUGCAGACGCAUGUGCAUGAAAGGGGCCAGCGGGCGAGCCUGCUCGUUCCCGCUGCGCGCCUUCUCUCCGGGCCGGCUCGUUGAUGACAUGGAUUUAGUCCCAACAGUCUGAGGGGGAACUUUGGUCGGUACCCCCCUUCUUGAUGAAUAUUAGAUAUCAUCUUUCGGGGCUGAGAGCCACUUCGGCACCGGAGAGAAGCGCCAGCAAGCACCCGCAUAAUGCACACGCACACGACCAUCCCAACCGCACGCAUACGCGCGCGUGGCCCUACGCCCAACACGCCAGAACAGCUCGGCCGACACGCAGCCGGCACGCCAGACCCCGCUGCCAACCAUCGCGCCACUCACUGUCCCGUCCGCCUCGCCGUUGCCGCCUACCUGCGCAGGGCGCUGAAGACUCGCGGCAACACGCCUAAGUACGGCCUCAUCUUCCACUCGUCCUUCAUCGGCCGCGCCAAGCAGCGCAACAAGGGCCGCAUCUCGCGCUACCUGGCCAACAAGUGCUCCAUCGCCUCGCGCAUCGACUGCUUCAUGGACGGCAACACCAACGUGUUCGGCGAGAAGAUGCGCGAGCAGGUGCGGGCGGCUCGGCGGGCUCAGCAUGGCUUCCUGGUGCCCGCACCGAGGCAGCUGGGCGGUCAUGCACCCAGUGCCCUGUCGUUGCCGUGGGCCCAGCCUGCGUCCAUCUUGCCCGAGCCGCUGAACGAGCCCUAACGCUUUGCAAUGCCG
Molecule: long non-coding RNA, 1037 nt
Filed under: Chlamydomonas reinhardtii
Lineage: Eukaryota; Viridiplantae; Chlorophyta; Chlorophyceae; Chlamydomonadales; Chlamydomonadaceae
Description: long non-coding RNA (CREI_LNC001015)
Source: RNAcentral